This 28-nucleotide small RNA is filed under the name Bombyx mori (domestic silkworm). RNAcentral describes it as "piRNA piR-bmo-1631216". Lineage: Eukaryota; Metazoa; Arthropoda; Insecta; Lepidoptera; Bombycidae. The record is from RNAcentral.
UAACGUUGUUCUGUGUCCGAUAGCGUAC